AAAUUGAAGAGUUUGAUCAUGGCUCAGAUUGAACGCUGGCGGCAGGCCUAACACAUGCAAGUCGAACGGUAGCACAGAGAGCUUGCUCUCGGGUGACGAGUGGCGGACGGGUGAGUAAUGUCUGGGAAACUGCCUGAUGGAGGGGGAUAACUACUGGAAACGGUGGCUAAUACCGCAUAACGUCGCAAGACCAAAGAGGGGGACCUUCGGGCCUCUUGCCAUCAGAUGUGCCCAGAUGGGAUUAGCUAGUUGGUGAGGUAACGGCUCACCAAGGCGACGAUCCCUAGCUGGUCUGAGAGGAUGACCAGCCACACUGGAACUGAGACACGGUCCAGACUCCUACGGGAGGCAGCAGUGGGGAAUAUUGCACAAUGGGCGCAAGCCUGAUGCAGCCAUGCCGCGUGUAUGAAGAAGGCCUUCGGGUUGUAAAGUACUUUCAGCGGGGAGGAAGGUGUUGUGGUUAAUAACCGCAGCAAUUGACGUUACCCGCAGAAGAAGCACCGGCUAACUCCGUGCCAGCAGCCGCGGUAAUACGGAGGGUGCAAGCGUUAAUCGGAAUUACUGGGCGUAAAGCGCACGCAGGCGGUCUGUCAAGUCGGAUGUGAAAUCCCCGGGCUCAACCUGGGAACUGCAUUCGAAACUGGCAGGCUUGAGUCUUGUAGAGGGGGGUAGAAUUCCAGGUGUAGCGGUGAAAUGCGUAGAGAUCUGGAGGAAUACCGGUGGCGAAGGCGGCCCCCUGGACAAAGACUGACGCUCAGGUGCGAAAGCGUGGGGAGCAAACAGGAUUAGAUACCCUGGUAGUCCACGCCGUAAACGAUGUCUACUUGGAGGUUGUGCCCUUGAGGCGUGGCUUCCGGAGCUAACGCGUUAAGUAGACCGCCUGGGGAGUACGGCCGCAAGGUUAAAACUCAAAUGAAUUGACGGGGGCCCGCACAAGCGGUGGAGCAUGUGGUUUAAUUCGAUGCAACGCGAAGAACCUUACCUGGUCUUGACAUCCACAGAACUUUCCAGAGAUGGAUUGGUGCCUUCGGGAACUGUGAGACAGGUGCUGCAUGGCUGUCGUCAGCUCGUGUUGUGAAAUGUUGGGUUAAGUCCCGCAACGAGCGCAACCCUUAUCCUUUGUUGCCAGCGGUCCGGCCGGGAACUCAAAGGAGACUGCCAGUGAUAAACUGGAGGAAGGUGGGGAUGACGUCAAGUCAUCAUGGCCCUUACGACCAGGGCUACACACGUGCUACAAUGGCGCAUACAAAGAGAAGCGACCUCGCGAGAGCAAGCGGACCUCAUAAAGUGCGUCGUAGUCCGGAUUGGAGUCUGCAACUCGACUCCAUGAAGUCGGAAUCGCUAGUAAUCGUGGAUCAGAAUGCCACGGUGAAUACGUUCCCGGGCCUUGUACACACCGCCCGUCACACCAUGGGAGUGGGUUGCAAAAGAAGUAGGUAGCUUAACCUUCGGGAGGGCGCUUACCACUUUGUGAUUCAUGACUGGGGUGAAGUCGUAACAAGGUAACCGUAGGGGAACCUGCGGUUGGAUCACCUCCUUA
This 1540-nucleotide ribosomal RNA is filed under the name Salmonella enterica subsp. enterica serovar Muenchen. RNAcentral's name for it is "16S ribosomal RNA". It matches the Rfam family "Bacterial small subunit ribosomal RNA". RNAcentral also lists the same sequence under 2 other names. Lineage: Bacteria; Pseudomonadati; Pseudomonadota; Gammaproteobacteria; Enterobacterales; Enterobacteriaceae. The record is from RNAcentral.